AAGGUAUAGAUUUUAUUCUUGAAAUUGUUUCUUACUCAAAGUAGAAAUUAAGAAAAUGUUUGAGCCUUCUGGGAAGCCUUCAGAAGGCUGCAGAAUGUAAAAUAAUUGUGUGGCUCUUUCUAAACAGACUUAGACUUUUUAGGCCAUGGUAAUUAUUUUGCUAAUGAUUAAAAUGAAAGCCCUUAACAUGGUGAACUACUACAAGCCUAAUUAGGAGAUGGGUAUGGAUGGUCCUUACAGCAUUAAUGCCUUAAAGAUAGUAUUUUUUAUUUCAUUGUGGGUUCAUUAGAUAACAUCCUGAUUGGCAGCUUACUUAACUGAUAAUAUAGCUAAAAAAUGUGAAAGUAUCUACUAGAAUUCAAGUUAAUUGACUUGCAAAAGGGUAUUGUAAAUUUGGUGCCAGUGCUUAAGAUUUAUACUCAGUAUAUUUCUGGCAUUCUGAAUAUUUCAAAGCUCUGUCU
RNAcentral lists this long non-coding RNA (461 nucleotides) under Bos taurus (domestic cattle). RNAcentral's name for it is "long non-coding RNA NONBTAT024697". Lineage: Eukaryota; Metazoa; Chordata; Mammalia; Artiodactyla; Bovidae. The record is from RNAcentral.